AUUGAACGCUGGCGGCAGGCCUAACACAUGCAAGUCGAGCGGAUGAAGGGAGCUUGCUCCUGGAGCCAGCGGCGGACGGGGGAGUAAUGCCUAGGAAUCUCCCUGGUAGUGGGGGAUAACGUCCGGAAACGGGCGCUAAUACCGCAUACGUCCUGAGGGAGAAAGUGGGGGAGCUUCGGACCUCACGCUAUCAGAGGAGCCUAGGUCGGAUUAGCUAGUUGGUGGGGUAAAGGCCUACCAAGGCGACGAUCCGUAACUGGUCUGAGAGGAUGGUCAGUCACCCGGGAACUUAGACACGGUCCAGAGGACUGCGAGACGCAGCAGUGGGCUAUGGGAGACAGUGGGCGAAAGUCUUGUCCAGUCGUGGGGAGUGUGAGACGGAGGUGCCCGGUGUGUAAAGCACGUCAUGUGGGGAGAAACCGCAGUAGGUUGAUACCUAGCUGGUUUGACGUUACCGACAGAAUAAGCACCGGCUAACUACGUG
Molecule: ribosomal RNA, 484 nt
Filed under: uncultured bacterium
Lineage: Bacteria
Description: partial 16S ribosomal RNA
Rfam family: Bacterial small subunit ribosomal RNA
Source: RNAcentral